GACGAACGCUGGCGGCGUGCUUAACACAUGCAAGUCGAACGGUAAGCCCCGGCUUUGGGGGGGUGCUCGAGUGGCGAACGGGUGAGUAACACGUGAGUAACCUGCCCUUGUCGUUGAGAUAACUUCAGGAAACUGGGGCUAAUACCGGAUCGGAUCUCCUGCUGCAUGGUGGGGGUUGGAAAGUUUCGGCGGUUGGGGAUGGACUCGCGGCUUAUCAGCUUGUUGGUGGGGUAGUGGCUUACCAAGGCGUCGACGGGUAGCCGGCCUGAGAGGGUGACCGGCCACACUGGGACUGAGACACGGCCCAGACUCCUACGGGAGGCAGCAGUGGGGAAUAUUGCACAAUGGGCGGAAGCCUGACGCAGCAACGCCGCGUGCGGGAUGACGGCCUUCGGGUUGUAAACCUCUUUCGCCUGGGACGAAGCGAGAGUGACGGUACCGGGAGAAGAAGCACCGGCUAACUACGUG
RNAcentral lists this ribosomal RNA (468 nucleotides) under uncultured bacterium. Its description in RNAcentral is "partial 16S ribosomal RNA". It matches the Rfam family "Bacterial small subunit ribosomal RNA", at positions 28 to 507 of the family's 1533-position model. The record is from RNAcentral.